UACGUAGGGUGCGAGCGUUGUCCGGAAUUAUUGGGCGUAAAGAGCUCGUAGGCGGUUUGUCGCGUCGACUGUGAAAACCCGAGGCUUAACCUCGGGCCUGCAGUCGAUACGGGCAGGCUCGAGUUCGGUAGGGGAGACUGGAAUUCCUGGUGUAGCGGUGAAAUGCGCAGAUAUCAGGAGGAACACCGGUGGCGAAGGCGGGUCUCUGGGCCGAUACUGACGCUGAGGAGCGAAAGCGUGGGGAGCGAACAGG
Molecule: ribosomal RNA, 253 nt
Filed under: uncultured bacterium
Lineage: Bacteria
Description: partial 16S ribosomal RNA
Rfam family: Bacterial small subunit ribosomal RNA
Source: RNAcentral